GUCUCGAGGUUCGUGGGUUGAAGCCCACAGCGGGCUUUGUGCUGGCGGUAUGGAGCCUGCUUGGGAUUCUCUCCUUCUCUCCCACAUGCUCACACUCUGUCAGAAGAAGUAAAUAAACUUAAAAAAGCCCAAAGAGGCAGCAUUGCCCUCAGGAGCACAGACAUCCAGUUUCCGUUGUCUAGAACCGUGGCUCUGCCUCUCACCUAACCUGCUGUUUCAGAUGGAUAAUCACAAGAUGCCAAGGGCACACAAUGAGAAGAAGUGAUGUAACCUCAGGCCCGAGGGUGAGGUUGGCGUCUGCUAGCUGAUGUAUUCCCCCAAUCCUGGCGGUGUUCCUCUGCACUCUUGUGCCUGUGAUGUGGUGCUGGCUGGAGGAGGAGAUAAGAAGACUGCACCUGAGGAGUCUAGACAGUGACUGCUCUAACGUCAAGAGUGAAGACAACGUGGAGUAGAGCCCCUGGCUGCCCUGUGAUGGACAUAUGAUAGGUUCCUGAGAAUUGCUUGUUACUGCUCUUUGACUAUCUUCAGAGAUUGUGUGACCUGGUUGCACAUGCCUGCCUACCAAGUAACAGAAAGAUGCUGCCAUUGCACUGUGAGCUGAGAUUCACAUGGAACUGUUCCAUAGAGCUAUGGCUGGAAUCAGAGAUUAUGGCUUUCAUUCCCAUGAUCAUCUCAGUGUUAUGCAAUGGCAGUCUCACCUCUAGUCUCCUGUCUGCAUUAUUGGUAAGUAGGAAAAGAAAACAAUAAAGAACAAGAGGUGAGUCAUUAUUUCAAAAGGAAGCUUACCCCGAAAUUGCCUUCAUAUUUUUGCUUUUAACUCAUCAUCCAGAAUGGAGUCUCAUGAACAGCCCUGUACAAGGGAAGCUAAGAAAUGUAGGUUAAUGGCUGAACCUAUUAUUGUCUCUCCCCUCACCAAUGGUAUAGUUGAUUAUUAGACAGACGAGAGGGAUGGACAUUUGGCAGUAUUUCCCAUAAAGGAGAAGCAAAUAUAGCUCUACUCCAGGGUUGAAAACCCUUGUGUAAUAGUAGCCCCAGACUCUCAGGUUUGAGUUGUCUUGCUUUAUAUCCUUGGACUAAUUGCUGAACCUCUCUAAAUAUUUUGUAUUUCAUUUUUGAAAUGUGAUAGCUAGAUUAAAAAUGAUCUUUAGGGUAACUUCAAGCAUUAAAAAUGCAGAUAUCCGUUACCAAGAGCUGUGUGGUCCCAUAAAAUAACCACAAGUCACACAUGGCUAUUAAAAAGCGGCUCGUCUGAACUGAGAUGUUGCAUGGGUUAUGUGUACACACUUGCUAUUGAAGAGCUUGGUGUGACGAAAGUCUCAAAACCUGAUUAAUAAUUGAUCACGUGUUGAAAUGCUGACAUUUCUAAUAUGUUGGAUUAACUAAAAUGCAUUAUUAAAAUUAAUUUCCCCUAUUGCCCCUUACCACUCAAAAGAAAGUAGAGAAUUGGGGCACCUGGGUGGCUCAGUCGGUUGUGUCCGACUUCACCUUAAGUCAUGAUCUCACAUUUUGUGAGUUCG
Molecule: long non-coding RNA, 1517 nt
Organism: Felis catus (domestic cat)
Lineage: Eukaryota; Metazoa; Chordata; Mammalia; Carnivora; Felidae
Exons: 6
Source: RefSeq, a predicted model, not a curated record